CGAUCGGACGUGCCAAUUCACCAAUCAAAGGAAUAAAAAUCGGAAAAUUUAAAGAUAAUCAAACAGUGUUUUUACAUAGCGUUUAUACCCUAGGGUGCUACCCUCUAACUGUUCAAUUAGUAUUUUACCGAUCGAACAACAUCUUACUACAUUUUUUUGGAAAAGAAAGUAAACGCGGCCUAGCACGAAAAUGCCUAACACACGGGCUACAGGUAAAACGACUGGAGUUAGCAGCGAUUUAAAACGUUCCAGCGAAACUGGUGCUAACACCACUUCGACAAUUAAGACAACAAAAGUUGGAUCAGCCGCCGAUAUACAAACUGCAACUGCUCCCGCUGCAUAUAGUGCCUCCGCGGUACCUGCCUCCGCCUCCUCGUUGAAUUUACUUCGGCUGUUCCGAAUCCUGCUGCACCCGCUGUUCCGAACCCUGCUGCCUCCGCUGCUCCGAAUCCUGCUGCAUCCGCUGCUCCGAAUCCUACUGCCUCUGCCGUUCCUGCCGGUGCAACCUCCGCCGAGUAUGUGCUACAGAUUCUGCCGCACAGUCUUCCACCGCUGUCGCAACAAUUGCCACCUCUGAAAUUAACGUUGGGUAUAGCGUCACCGAGCCCAACGCUCAAGAUUAUGUCACCCCCGGCGUUUCAGUGUCCGCCGUUAGCCCCGCUGUUUGCUCCGAAACACCGAUAAAAGCGUUCCCCUCUGAUGAAAUAAAUAAUCUCCAGGAGCAGCUGAAAAUUUUAAAACUUUGACGAUAACUGGCAGAUCUCCAAGCUCAAGUCCAACAAACUGAAAUUUAUCCAGGCGUCCGUGUUAGUAAAUACAUAUAUAUACUUUGAUGAACUCGACGCAGCGGUCCCAAAAUUCAGCGGCGACAACCAUUAUGAUAUUAAUCGAUGGUUUUUGCAAUUUGAAGACUAUGCCGACGCCAAUAAUUAUAACGAAAGGCAUAAGUGUCUAGCCCUUAGGCGAUGUAUGACCGGCACAGCCAAAGAAUUUGUACUAAAUCAAGACCUUGCAAAUUAUUCAACGCUGAAGUCGCUGUUGUGUACCAUGUUUAGACGCAACAGUUCACGGCAAGAGGUCUUGCGUGAGCUAUGCCGUUGCAAUGCAGUCAAUUACCGCCCAGUCGGAUAUACCGGAGCAAGAGCUGGUUGAUCUGAUAAUAGAUGAAAUUCCUGACAGCAGCAACAACAUAAGCAUCUUGUAUGGUGCUAGCACAGUUUGCGAUCUAAUAAGACGAAUGGAGCGUUACGAGCAACGCCGGCAGAACAUCGUACAGCGUAAGCCAUCAGCCGUCGUGACAUCACGCCCAGAAGCAAAGGCCACUGCCUACGAAGAUCUUUCAGCCGUGCGCUGCUUCAACUGUUCGCGCUACGGGCCCUACCAAAGCAGCUGCCCAAAACCACAACGACCAGCGGGUUCCUGCUUCACUUGCCACCAACUGGGACACAUGCGCCGAGAUUGUCCAAUGAAGAGGAGCCAGUCGACCAAUGUUGCAGCCAUCUCGCAGACUAUAAUUAUUUAGAACCUAAGCAAGAGCUCGAUUAGUCUUGUGCAAAAAUCGAUUGCUGAACGCUUCCUAAAGUUACCACCUAUUGCGAAGCCUACGAAGUUUGUUGGAGUCGGU
RNAcentral lists this long non-coding RNA (1624 nucleotides) under Rhagoletis pomonella (apple maggot). Its description in RNAcentral is "uncharacterized LOC118734763". Lineage: Eukaryota; Metazoa; Arthropoda; Insecta; Diptera; Tephritidae. The record is from RNAcentral.